UACGGAGGGUGCAAGCAUUAAUCGGAUUUAUUGGGCGUAAAGGGCGCGUAGGCGGAUAGGCCAGUCAGAUGUGAAAUCCUGGGGCUCAACCUCAGAACAGCAUUUGAAACUACCUAUCUAGAGGAUAAGCGGGGAAAACAGAAUUCCACAAGUAGCGGUGAAAUGCGUAGAUAUGUGGAAGAAUACCGGUGGCGAAGGCGGUUUUCUAGCUUAUUCCUGACGCUAAUGCGCGAAAGCAAGGGGAUCAAACAGG
This 253-nucleotide ribosomal RNA is filed under the name uncultured bacterium. Its description in RNAcentral is "partial 16S ribosomal RNA". It matches the Rfam family "Bacterial small subunit ribosomal RNA", at positions 524 to 776 of the family's 1533-position model. The record is from RNAcentral.